This is a non-coding RNA of Xyrichtys novacula (pearly razorfish), 12417 nucleotides long. NCBI's taxonomy places the organism in Eukaryota, Metazoa, Chordata, Actinopteri, Labriformes, Labridae. The record is from the annotation of a GenBank genome assembly.
AGGGUUAGGGUUGGAGCUAGGGUUAGGGUUAGGGUUAGGGUUGGAACUAGGGUUAGGUCUAGGGUUAGGGUUGGAGCUAGGGUUAGGGUUAGGGUUAGGGUUGGAGUUAGGGUUAGGGUUAGGGUUGGAGUUAGGGUUGGUGCUAGGGUUAGGGUUGGAGCUAGGGUUAGGGUUAGGGUUAGGGUUGGAGUUGGAGUUAGGGUUCGAGCUAGGGUUAGGGUUAGGGUUAGGGUUGGAGCUAGGGUUAGGGUUAGGGUUGGAGUUAGGGUUGGAGCUAGGGUUUGGGUUAGGGUUAGGGUUGGAGCUAGGGUUAGAGUUAGGGUUGGAGUUAGGGUUGGAGUUAGGGUUGGAGCUAGGGUUAGGGUUGGAGUUAGGGUUGGGGUUAGGGUUAGGGUUGGAGUUAGGGUUGGAGCUAGGGUUAGGGUUAGGGUUAGGGUUAGGGUUAGGGUUAGGGUUGGAGUUAGGGUUGCAGCUAGGGUUAGGGUUGGAGCUAGGGUUAGGGUUAGGGUUGGAGUUAGGGUUAGGGUUAGGGUUAGGGUUUGAGUUAGGGUUAGGGUUGGAGCUAGGGUUAGGGUAAGGGUUAGGGUUGGAGCUAGGGUUAGGGUUAGGGUUAGGGUUUGAGCUAGGGUUAGGGUUAGGGUUAGGGUUAGGGUUGGAGUUAGGGUUAGGGUUAGGGUUAGGGUUGGAGUUAGGGUUGCAGCUAGGGUUAGGGUUAGGGUUAGGGUUGGAGCCAGGAUUAAGGUUAGGGUUAGGGUUGGAGUUAGGGUUAGGGUUAGGGUUGGAGCUAGGGUUAGGGUUAGGGUUAGGGUUGGAGCUAGGGUUAGGGUUAGGGUUAGGGUUAGGGUUUGAGUUAGGAUAUAGGGGUAUGUGCCACUUUUGACAUGCCGGUUCAUUGCCUUUCCCAUUGAUGAACCGGGCUGAGAUUUGGUCUACCCCCCCAUUUUCGGGUAUGCUGAAUCUAGAAAUAGUAAUGAACCAGCGAUCGGACAUUCCUAUCAAAAGUUAUGGCGAAGUGAAAAUUUCCCAUUGAAAAUGAAUGGGAGCGGAAAAAUGGCCAAAGUCAGUGUUUGCAAGUGUUGUACUUGUCUGGAAAUGUUGAAAAUGCAUUGUGAGCACGUUUCAGGCCAUUUCCUGUCAUUUGAGGGCGACUUUGCAAAAAGGGGUGUCAUACCGCUUUUGACCAGAGGUGGCGCUGCACCAGUUCGAGGGUUAGGGUUAGGGUGAGACUUAGGGCUAGGGGUUAGGGUUAGGGCUGGAGCUAUGGUUAGGGUUAGGGUUAGGGUUAAGGUUGGAACUAGGGUUAGGGUUAAGGUUAGGGUUGGAAAAAUCUUCCACCCCCAACAUGCAAGUUUCAGCGCUCUACGACCUACAAAAUGCAUAUAGCUAUCCCUAACCCUAACCCUAACUCCAACCCUAACCCUAACCCUAGCUCCAACCCUAACCCUAGCUGCAACCCUAACUCCAACCCUAACCCUAACCCUAACCCUAGCUCCAACCCUUACCCUAACCCUAGCUCCAACCCUAACUCCAACCCUAACCCUAACCCUAACCCUCGCUCCAACCCUAACUCCAACCCUAACCCUAACCCUAACCCUAGCUCCAACCCAAACCCAAACCCUAACCCUAGCUCCAACCCUAACUCCAACCCUAACCCUAACGCUAACUCCAACCCUUACCCUAACCCUAACUCCAACACUAACCCUAACCCCAACCCUUGCUCCAACCCUAACCCUAACCCUAAACAUAGCUCCAACCCUAACCCUAACCCUAGCUCAAACCCUAACUCCAACCCUAGCUCCAACCCUAACUCCAACCCUAACCCUAACCCUAACCCUAACUCCAACCCUAACCCUAACCCUAACCCUAACCCUAGAUGCAACCCUAACUCCAACCUUAACCCUAACCCUAGCUCCAACCCUAACCCUAACCCUAGCUGCAACCCUAACUCCAACCCUAACCCUUACCCUAACCCUAGCUCCAACCCUAACCCUAACCCUAACUCCGACCCUAACCCUAACCCUAACCCUAGCUCCAACCCUAACCCUAACCCUAGCUCAACCCUAACCCUAACCCUAACCCUAGCUGCAACCCUAACCCUAACCCUAGCUGCAACCCUAACUCCAACCCUAACCCUUACCCUAACCCUAGCUCCAACCCUAACCCUAACUCCGACCCUAACCCUAACCCUAACCCUAGCUCCAACCCUAACCCUAACCCUAGCUCAACCCUAACCCUAACCCUAAGCCUAGCUGCAACCCUAACCCUAACCCUAACCCUUGCUCCAACCCUAAACCUAACCCUAACCCUAGCUGCAACCCUAACUCCAACCUUAACCCUAACCCUAACCCUAGUCCAACCCUAACCCUAACCCUAACCCUAGCUCCCACCCUAACUCCAACCCUAACCCUAACCCUAACCCUAUCUCCUACCCUAACCCUAACCCUAGCUCCAACCCUAACCCUAACCCUAGCUGCCACCCUAACUCCAACCCUAUCCCUAACACUAACCCUAUCUCCUACCCUAACCCUAACCCUAGCUCCAACCCUAACCCUAACCCUAGCUGCAACCCUAACUCCAACCCUAACCCUUACCCUAACCCUAGCUCCAACCCUAACCCUAACCCUAAACCUAGCUCCAACCCUAACCCUAACCCUAACCCUAGCUCCCACCCUAACUCCAACCCUAACCCUAACCCUAACCCUAGCUCCAACCCUAACUCCAACCCUAACCCUAACCCUAGCUCCAACACUAACCCUUACCCUAACCCUAGCUCCAACCCUAACCCUAACUCCAACCCUAACCCUAACCCUAACCCUAACUCCAACCCUAACCCUUACUUUAACUCCAACCCUAACCCUAACCCUAACCCUAGCUCCAACCCUAACCCUAACCCUAGCUCAACCCUAACCCUAACCCUAACCCUAGCUGCAACCCUAACUCCAACCAUAACCCUAACCCUAACCCUAACUCCAACCCUAACCCUAACUCUAGCUCCAACCCUAACCCUAACCCUAACCCUAGCUCCAACCCUAAAUCCAACCCUAACCCUAACCCUAGCUCCAACCCUAACCCUAAUCCUAGCUCCAACCCUAACCCUAACUCCAACCCUAACCCUAACCCUAACCCUAACUCCAACCCUAACCCUAACCCUAACCCUAACUCCAACCCUAACCCUAACUCCAACCCUAACCCUAACCCUAACCCUAGCUCCAACCCUAACCCUAACCCUAACCCUAACCCUAGCUGCAACCCUAACUCCAACCCUAACCCUAACCCUAACCCUAGCUCCAACCCUAACCCUAACUCCAACCCAACCCUAACUCCAACCCUAACCCUAACCCUAGCUCCAACCCUAACCCUAACCCUAACCCUAGCUGCAACCCUAACCCCCACACUAACCCUAACCCUAACCCUAGCUCCAACCCUAACCCUAACCCUAGCUCCAACCCUGACUCCAACCCUAACCCUAAUCCUAACCCUAGCUCCAACCCUAACCCUAGCUCCAACCCUAACUCCAACCCUAACCCUAACCCUAACCCUAACCCUAGCUCCAACCCUAACCCUAACCCUAACCCUAGCUCCAACCCUAACUCCAACUCCAACCCUAACCCUAACCCUGACCCUAGCUCCAACCCUGACCCUAACCCUAACCCUGGCUCCAAUCCUAACCCUAACCCUAGCUGCAACCCUAACUAACUAAGGGUUAGGGUUGGAGCUAGGGUUAGGGUUAGGGUUAGGGUUGGGUUAGGGUUGGAGCUAGGGUUAGGGUUAGGGUUAGGGUUGGAGUUAGGGUUAGGGUUGGAGUUAGGGUUGGAGCUAGGGUUAGGGUUCGAGUUGGAGCUAGGGUUAGGGUUAGGGUUAGGGUUGGAGUUGGAGUUAGGGUUGGAGCUAGGGUUAGGGUUAGGGUUAGGGUUGGAGCUAGGGUUAGGGUUAGGGUUAGGGUUGGAGUUAGGGUUGGAGCUAGGGUUUGGGUUAGGGUUAGGGUUGGAGCUAGGGUUAGAGUUAGGGUUGGAGUUAGGGUUGGAGUUAGGGUCGGAGCUAGGGUUAGGGUUGGAGUUAGGGUUGGGGUUAGGGUUAGGGUUGGAGUUAGGGUUGGAGCUAGGGUUAGGGUUAGGGUUGGCGCUUGGGUUAGGGUUAGGGUUAGUGUUGGAGUUAGGGUUGCAGCUAGGGUUAGGGUUAGGGUUGGAGCUAGGGUUAGGGUUAGGGUUGGAGUUAGGGUUAGGGUUAGGGUUAGGGUUUGAGUUAGGGUUAGGGUUGGAGCUAGGGUUAGGGUAAGGGUUAGGGUUGGAGCUAGGGUUAGGGUUAGGGUUAGGGUUUGAGCUAGGGUUAGGGUUAGGGUUAGGGUUAGGGUUGGAGUUAGGGUUAGGGUUAGGGUUGGAGUUAGGGUUGCAGCUAGGGUUAGGGUUAGGGUUAGGGUUGGAGCCAGGAUUAAGGUUAGGGUUAGGGUUGGAGUUAGGGUUAGGGUUAGGGUUGGAGCUAGGGUUAGGGUUAGGGUUAGGGUUGGAGUUAGGGUUAGGGUUAGGGUUGGAGUUAGGGUUGGAGCUAGGGUUAGGGUUGGAGCUAGGGUUAGGGUUAGGGUUAGGGUUGGAGUUGGAGUUAGGGUUGGAGCUAGGGUUAGGGUUAGGGUUAGGGUUGGAGCUAGGGUUAGGGUUAGGGUUGGAGUUAGGGUUGGAGCUAGGGUUUGGGUUAGGGUUAGGGUUAGGGUUAGGGUUAGAGUUAGGGUUGGAGUUAGGGUUGGAGUUAGGGUUGGAGCUAGGGUUAGGGUUGGAGUUAGGGUUGGGGUUAGGGUUAGGGUUGGAGUUAGGGUUGGAGCUAGGGUUAGGGUUAGGGUUGGCGCUUGGGUUAGGGUUAGGGUUAGUGUUGGAGUUAGGGUUGCAGCUAGGGUUAGGGUUAGGGUUAGGGUUGGAGCGUUAGGGUUAGGGUUAGAGUUAGGGUUAGGGUUAGGGUUAGGGUUUGAGUUAGGGUUAGGGUUGGAGCUAGGGUUAGGGUAAGGGUUAGGGUUGGAGCUAGGGUUAGGGUUAGGGUUAGGGUUUGAGCUAGGGUUAGGGUUAGGGUUAGGGUUAGGGUUGGAGUUAGGGUUAGGGUUAGGGUUAGGGUUAGGGUUGGAGUUAGGGUUGCAGCUAGGGUUAGGGUUAGGGUUAGGGUUGGAGCCAGGAUUAAGGUUAGGGUUAGGGUUGGAGUUAGGGUUAGGGUUAGGGUUGGAGCUAGGGUUAGGGUUAGGGUUAGGGUUAGGGUUUGAGUUAGGGUUGCAGCUAGGGUUAGGGUUAGGGUUAGGGUUGGAGCUAGGGUUAGGGUUGUUAUAGGGUUGGAGCUAGGGUUAGGGUUAGGGUUGGAGCUAGAGUUAGGGUUAGGGUUGGAGUUAGGGUUAGGGUUAGGGUUAUGGUUGGAGUUAGGGUUGCAGCUAGGGUUAGGGUUAGGGUUAGGGUUAGGGUUGAGCUAGGGUUAGGGUUAGGGUUGGAGCUAGGGUUAGGGUUAGGGUUAGGGUUGGAGCUAGGGUUAGGGUUAGGGUUAGGGUUGGAGUUAGGGUUGGAGCUAGGGUUAGGGUUGGAGCUAGGGUUAGGGUUAGGGUUGGAGGGUUAGGGUUAGGGUUAGGGUUAGGGUUGGAGUUAGGGUUGGAGCUAGGGUUAGGGUUAGGGUUAGAGCUAGGGUUAGGGUUAGGGCUAGGGUUGGAGUUAGGGUUGGAGCUAGGGUUAGGGUUAGGGUUAGAGCUAGGGUUAGGGUUAGGGUUAGGGUUGGAGUUAGGGUUGCAGCUAGGGUUAGGGUUAGGGUUAGGGUUAGGGUUGGAGUUAGGGUUAGGGUUAGGGUUAGGUAUAUGCAUUUUGGAGGUCGUAGAGCGCUGAAACUUGCAUGUUUGGGGUGGAAGAUUUUUCUGAGUCCAAUGAACCAACUCCCGAGUCUCUAGGACGUUCCUAAAAAAAGUUGAUUUUUUCCAAUAGGAAUGCAUGGGAAGAAAAUUUUGAGUGAAGAAAAUUCAUUGAAGUGCCGACCCAAUUUUUCACCUUCCAGAAUUGUGUUAGGAGUACGUUUCAGGCCACGGGUCUAUAGAACCUAAUUCUGGGGGAAGUUUUUUGAAAAGUUUACUUAGGGUUAGGGUUAGGGUUAGGGUUGGAGCUAGGGUUAGGGUUAGGGUUGGAGCUAGGGUUAGGGUUAGGGUUAGGGUUGGAGUUAAGGUUGGAGCUAAGGUUAGGGUUAGGGUUAGGGUUGGAGCUAGGGUUAGGGUUAGGGUUAGGGUUGGAGUUAGGGUUGGAGCUAGGGUUAGGGUUAGGGUUAGGGUUGGAGCUAGGGUUAGGGUUAGGGUUAGGGUUGGAGUUAGGGUUGGAGCUAGGGUUAGGGUUAGGGUUGGAGCUAGGGUUAGGGUUAGGGUUGGCGCUAGGGUUAGGGUUAGGGUUAGUGUUGGAGUUAGGGUUGCAGCUAGGGUUAGGGUUAGGGUUAGGGUUGGAGCUAGGGUUAGGGUUAGGGUUGGAGUUAGGGUUAGGGUUAGGGUUUGAGUUAGGGUUAGGGUUGGAGCUAGGGUUAGGGUUAGGGUUAGGGUUGGAGCUAGGGUUAGGGUUAGGGUUAGGGUUUGAGCUAGGGUUAGGGUUAGGGUUAGGGUUGGAGUUAGGGUUAGGGUUAGGGUUGGAGUUAGGGUUGCAGCUAGGGUUAGGGUUAGGGUUAGGGUUGGAGCUAGGGUUAGGGUUAGGGUUAGGGUUAGAGCUAGGGUUAGGGUUAGGGUUAGGGUUAGGGUUUGAGUUAGGGUUGCAGCUAGGGUUAGGGUUAGGGUUAGGGUUGGAGCUAGGUUUAGGGUUGUUAUAGGGUUGGAGCUAGGGUUAGGGUUAGGGUUGGGGUUGGAGCUAGAGUUAGGGUUAGGGUUGGAGUUAGGGUUAGGGUUAGGGUUAUGGUUGGAGUUAGGGUUGCAGCUAGGGUUAGGGUUAGGGUUAGGGUUGAGCUAGGGUUAGGGUUAGGGUUGGAGCUAGGGUUAGGGUUAGGGUUAGGGUUGGAGCUAGGGUUAGGGUUAGGGUUAGGGUUGGAGUUAGGGUUGGAGCUAGGGUUAGGGUUUGAGCUAGGGUUAGGGUUAGGGUUGGAGCUAGGGUUGGAGCUAGGGUUAGGAUUAGGGUUAGGGUUGGAGUUAGGGUUGGAGCUAGGGUUAGGGUUAGGGUUAGAGCUAGGGUUAGGGUUAGGGUUAGGGUUGGAGUUAGGGUUGGAGCUAGGGUUAGGGUUAGGGUUAGAGCUAGGGUUAGGGUUAGGGUUAGGGUUGGAGUUAGGGUUGGAGUUAGGGUUAGGGUUAGGGUUAGGUAUAUGCAUUUUGGAGGUCGUAGAGCGCUGAAACUUGCAUGUUUUGGGUGGAAGAUUUUUCUGAGUCCAAUGAACCAACUCCCGAGUCUCUAGGACGUUCCUAAAAAAAGUUGAUUUUUUCCAAUAGGAAUGCAUGGGAAGAAAAUUUUGAGUGAAGAAAAUUCAUUGAAGUGCCGACCCAAUUUUUCACCUUCCAGAAUUGUGUUAGGAGUACGUUUCAGGCCACGGGGAGUCUAUAGAACCUAAUUCUGGGGGAAGUUUUUUGAAAAGUUUACUUAGGGUUAGGGUUAGGGUUAGGGUUGGAGCUAGGGUUAGGGUUAGGGUUGGAGCUAGGGUUAGGGUUAGGGUUAGGGUUGGAGUUAAGGUUGGAGGUUAGGGUUAGGGUUAGGGUUGGAGCUAGGGUUAGGGUUAGGGUUAGGGUUGGAGUUAGGGUUGGAGCUAGGGUUAGGGUUAGGGUUGGAGCUAGGGUUAGGGUUAGGGUUAGGGUUGGAGUUAGGGUUGGAGCUAGGGUUAGGGUUAGGGUUGGAGCUAGGGUUAGGGUUAGGGUUGGCGCUAGGGUUAGGGUUAGGGUUAGUGUUGGAGUUAGGGUUGCAGCUAGGGUUAGGGUUAGGGUUAGGGUUGGAGCUAGGGUUAGGGUUAGGGUUGGAGUUAGGGUUAGGGUUAGGGUUUGAGUUAGGGUUAGGGUUGGAGCUAGGGUUAGGGUAAGGGUUAGGGUUGGAGCUAGGGUUAGGGUUAGGGUUAGGGUUUGAGCUAGGGUUAGGGUUAGGGUUAGGGUUGGAGUUAGGGUUAGGGUUAGGGUUGGAGUUAGGGUUGCAGCUAGGGUUAGGGUUAGGGUUAGGGUUGGAGCUAGGGUUAGGGUUAGGGUUAGGGUUAGAGCUAGGGUUAGGGUUAGGGUUAGGGUUAGGGUUUGAGUUAGGGUUGCAGCUAGGGUUAGGGUUAGGGUUAGGGUUGGAGCUAGGGUUAGGGUUGUUAUAGGGUUGGAGCUAGGGUUAGGGUUAGGGUUAGGGUUGGAGCUAGAGUUAGGGUUAGGGUUGGAGUUAGGGUUAGGGUUAGGGUUAUGGUUGGAGUUAGGGUUGCAGCUAGGGUUAGGGUUAGGGUUAGGGUUGAGCUAGGGUUAGGGUUAGGGUUGGAGCUAGGGUUAGGGUUAGGGUUAGGGUUGGAGCUAGGGUUAGGGUUAGGGUUAGGGUUGGAGUUAGGGUUGGAGCUAGGGUUAGGGUUUGAGCUAGGGUUAGGGUUAGGGUUGGAGCUAGGGUUUGAGCUAGGGUUAGGAUUAGGGUUAGGGUUGGAGUUAGGGUUGGAGCUAGGGUUAGGGUUAGGGUUAGAGCUAGGGUUAGGGUUAGGGUUAGGGUUGGAGUUAGGGUUGGAGCUAGGGUUAGGGUUAGGGUUAGAGCUAGGGUUAGGGUUAGGGUUAGGGUUGGAGUUAGGGUUGCAGCUAGGGUUAGGGUUAGGGUUGGAGCUAGGGUUAGGGUUAGGGUUGGAGUUAGGGUUAGGGUUAGGGUUAGGUAUAUGCAUUUUGGAGGUCGUAGAGUGCUGAAACUUGCAUGUUGGGGGUGGAAGAAUUUUUCUGAGUCCAAUGAACCAACUCCCGAGUCUCUAGGACGUUCCUAAAAAAAGUUGAUUUUUUCCAAUAGGAAUGCAUGGGAAGAAAAUUUUGAGUGAAGAAAAUUCAUUGAAGUGCCGACCCAAUUUUUCACCUUCCAGAAUUGUGUUAGGAGUACGUUUCAGGCCACGGGUCUAUAGAACCUAAUUCUGGGGGAAGUUUUUUGAAAAGUUUACUUAGGGUUAGGGUUAGGGUUAGGGUUGGAGCUAGGGUUAGGGUUAGGGUUGGAGCUAGGGUUAGGGUUAGGGUUAGGGUUGGAGUUAAGGUUGGAGCUAGGGUUAGGGUUAGGGUUAGGGUUGGAGCUAGGGUUAGGGUUAGGGUUAGGGUUGGAGUUAGGGUUGGAGCUAGGGUUAGGGUUAGGGUUAGGGUUAGGGUUGGAGCUAGGGUUAGGGUUAGGGUUAGGGUUGGAGUUAGGGUUGGAGCUAGGGUUAGGGUUAGGGUUGGAGCUAGGGUUAGGGUUAGGGUUGGAGCUAGGGUUAGGGUUAGGGUUGGAGUUAGGGUUUGAGCUAGGGUUAGGGUUAGGGUUGGAGCUAGGGUUAGGGUUGGAGUUAGGGUUGCAGCUAGGGUUAGGGUUAGGGUUAGGGUUGGAGCUAGGGUUAGGGUUAGGGUUGGAGUUAGGGUUAGGGUUAGGGUUAGGGUUGGAGUUAGGGUUGGAGCUAGGGUUAGGGUUAGGGUUGGAUCUAGGGUUAGGGUUAGGGUUGGAGCUAGGGUUAGGGUUCGGGUUAGGGUUGGAGCUAGGGUUAGGGUUAGGGUUGGAGCUAGGGUUAGGGUUAGGGUUGGAGCUAGGGUUAGGGUUAGGGUUGGAGCUAGGGUUAGGGUUAGGGUUGGAGCUAGGGUUAGGGUUCGGGUUAGGGUUGGAGUUAGGGUUUGAGCUAGGGUUAGGGUUAGGGUUGGAGCUAGGGUUAGGGUUGGAGUUAGGGUUGCAGCUAGGGUUAGGGUUAGGGUUAGAGCUAGGGUUAGGGUUAGGGUUAGGGUUGGAGUUAGGGUUGGAGCUAGGGUUAGGGUUAGGGUUAGAGCUAGGGUUAGGGUUAGGGUUAGGGUUGGAGUUAGGGUUGGAGCUAGGGUUAGGGUUAGGGUUAGAGCUAGGGUUAGGGUUAGGGUUAGGGUUGGAGUUAGGGUUGCAGCUAGGGUUAGGGUUAGGGUUGGAGCUAGGGUUAGGGUUAGGGUUGGAGUUAGGGUUAGGGUUAGGGUUAGGUAUAUGCAUUUUGGAGGUCGUAGAGCGCUGAAACUUGCAUGUUUGGGGUGGAAGAUUUUUCUGAGUCCAAUGAACCAACUCCCGAGUCUCUAGGACGUUCCUAAAAAAAGUUGAUUUUUUCCAAUAGGAAUGCAUGGGAAGAAAAUUUUGAGUGAAGAAAAUUCAUUGAAGUGCCGACCCAAUUUUUCACCUUCCAGAAUUGUGUUAGGAGUACGUUUCAGGCCACGGGGAGUCUAUAGAACCUAAUUCUGGGGGAAGUUUUUUGAAAAGUUUACUUAGGGUUAGGGUUAGGGUUAGGGUUGGAGCUAGGGUUAGGGUUAGGGUUGGAGCUAGGGUUAGGGUUAGGGUUAGGGUUGGAGUUAAGGUUGGAGCUAAGGUUAGGGUUAGGGUUAGGGUUGGAGCUAGGGUUAGGGUUAGGGUUAGGGUUGGAGUUAGGGUUGGAGCUAGGGUUAGGGUUAGGGGUUAGGGUUAGGGUUGGAGCUAGGGUUAGGGUUAGGGUUAGGGUUGGAGUUAGGGUUGGAGCUAGGAUUAGGGUUAGGGUUGGAGCUAGGGUUAGGGUUAGGGUUGGAGCUAGGGUUGGAGCUAGGGUUGGAGUUAGGGUUUGAGCUAGGGUUAGGGUUAGGGUUGGAGCUAGGGUUAGGGUUGGAGUUAGGGUUGCAGCUAGGGUUAGGGUUAGGGUUAGGGUUGGAGCUAGGGUUAGGGUUAGGGUUGGAGUUAGGGUUAGGGUUAGGGUUAGGGUUGGAGUUAGGGUUGGAGCUAGGGUUAGGGUUAGGGUUGGAGCUAGGGUUAGGGUUAGGGUUGGAGCUAGGGUUAGGGUUCGGGUUAGGGUUGGAGCUAGGGUUAGGGUUAGGGUUAGAGCUAGGGUUAGGGUUAGGGUUGGAGCUAGGGUUAGGGUUAGGGUUGGAGCUAGGGUUAGGGUUAGGGUUGGAGCUAGGGUUAGGGUUGGAGCUAGGAUUGGAGUUAGGGUUUGAGCUAGGGUUAGGGUUAGGGUUGGAGCUAGGGUUAGGGUUGGAGUUAGGGUUGCAGCUAGGGUUAGGGUUAGGGUUAGAGCUAGGGUUAGGGUUAGGGUUAGGGUUGGAGUUAGGGUUGCAGCUAGGGUUAGGGUUAGGGUUGGAGCUAGGGUUAGGGUUAGGGUUAGGGUUAGGGUUAGGUAUAUGCAUUUUGGAGGUCGUAGAGUGCUGAAACUUGCAUGUUGGGGGUGGAAGAAUUUUCUGAGUCCAAUGAACCAACUCCCGAGUCUCUAGGACGUUCCUAAAAAAAGUUGAUUUUUUCCCAUAGGAAUGCAUGGGAAGAAAAUUUUGAGUGAAGAAAAUUCAUUGAAGUGCCGACCCAAUUUUUCACCUUCCAGAAUUGUGUUAGGAGUACGUUUCAGGCCACGGGGAGUCUAUAGAACCUAAUUCUGGGGGAAGUUUUUUGAAAAGUUUACUUAGGGUUAGGGUUAGGGUUGGAGCUAGGGUUAGGGUUAGGGUUGGAGCUAGGGUUAGGGUUAGGGUUAGGGUUGGAGUUAAGGUUGGAGCUAGGGUUAGGGUUAGGGUUGGAGCUAGGGUUAGGGUUCGGGUUAGGGUUGGAGCUAGGGUUAGGGUUAGGGUUAGGGUUGGAGUUAGGGUUGGAGCUAGGGUUAGGGUUAGGGUUGGAGCUAGGGUUAGGGUUAGGGUUGGAGCUAGGGUUAGGGUUCGGGUUAGGGUUGGAGCUAGGGUUGGAGUUAGGGUUUGAGCUAGGGUUAGGGUUAGGGUUAGGGUUGGAGUUAGGGUUGCAGCUAGGGUUAGGGUUAGGGUUGGAGUUAGGGUUGCAGCUAGGGUUAGGGUUAGGGUUAGGGUUGGGGCUAGGGUUAGGGUUAGGGUUGGAGUUAGGGUUAGGGUUAGGGUUAGGGUUAGGUAUAUGCAUUUUGGAGGUCGUAGAGUGCUGAAACUUGCAUGUUGGGGGUGGAAGAAUUUUCUGAGUCCAAUGAACCAACUCCCGAGUCUCUAGGACGUUCCUAAAAAAAGUUGAUUUUUUCCCAUAGGAAUGCAUGGGAAGAAAAUUUUGAGUGAAGAAAAUUCAUUGAAGUGCCGACCCAAUUUUUCACCUUCCAGAAUUGUGUUAGGAGUACGUUUCAGGCCACGGGGAGUCUAUAGAACCUAAUUCUGGGGGAAGUUUUUUGAAAAGUUUACUUAGGGUUAGGGUUAGGGUUAGGGUUAGGGUUGGAGCUAGGGUUAGGGUUGGAGUUGGAGUUAGAGUUGCAGCUAGGGUUAGGGUUAGGGUUAGGGUUGGAGCUAGGGUUAGGGUUGCAGCUAGGGAUAGGGUUAGGGUUGGAGCUAGGGUUUUGGUUGGAGCUAGGGUUAGGGUUAGGGCUGGGGUUAGGAUUAGGGUU